UCCCUUGUGGCUCAGCUGGUAAAGAAUCUGCCUGCAAUGCAGGAGACCUGGGUUUGACCCCUGCAUUGGGA
Molecule: transfer RNA, 71 nt
Filed under: Ovis aries (sheep)
Lineage: Eukaryota; Metazoa; Chordata; Mammalia; Artiodactyla; Bovidae
Rfam family: tRNA
About the family: Transfer RNA (tRNA) molecules are approximately 80 nucleotides in length. Their secondary structure includes four short double-helical elements and three loops (D, anti-codon, and T loops).
Source: Rfam by way of RNAcentral